ACCUGUGGUAGUUAGAUCUCAGUUCCAGACGGGUGAUUCGCUUACCGGUGGUUACUGCCUGUUCUGAAUAGCCAGACGGUUCCCUUUGAUGACCUUUACCGGUUGUCUUGGGUGACCAGCAAGUUUUCUUUGAAACAUUUCGAGUGCUCAAAGCAGGGAUGACGGCUGAACAAUGGUGCAUGGAAUACGAAGUCAGUUCUAUUUUGUGGUUUUUGGAAUACGAGGAUUAAGAGGAACAGACUGGGGCAUUCGUAUUGCGAAGCUAGAGAUGAAAUUCUUGGACCGCUGGAAGACGAACUGCUGCGAAAGCGUUUGCCAAGAAUGUUCCCAUUAAUCAAGAACGGUUAGUAAGUUAGGGGUUCGAAGGCGAUCAGGUAAGCGAUGCCAACCAGCGAUCCGGCUGUGUUCCUGAAAUGAGACGACGGGCAGCUUCCGGAAGACCAAAGCCUUCGGGUU
Molecule: non-coding RNA, 456 nt
Filed under: Stegodyphus mimosarum
Lineage: Eukaryota; Metazoa; Arthropoda; Arachnida; Araneae; Eresidae
Description: eukaryotic small subunit ribosomal RNA
Rfam family: Eukaryotic small subunit ribosomal RNA
Source: Rfam by way of RNAcentral